Non-coding RNA from Ceratotherium simum simum (southern white rhinoceros), 210 nucleotides. The record is from RefSeq and is a predicted model, not a curated record. Lineage: Eukaryota; Metazoa; Chordata; Mammalia; Perissodactyla; Rhinocerotidae.
CCCCAUACUCCGUAGAGGCUGUUCGGUCUGGAAUGGUGAGCUUGGUGGCCUGCGUGGGUGAUAAGGAAGGGGAGUGACCCACACUGAGGGACCUCAGGGGCAAAGGCGGAGAACAGGGGAAAGGAGUUUGGCAGAGUGGGCAGGGCCAGGUCAGGAAAGGGUAGGGGUCAUGUGAGCAGCGUGGGCCUGGUCUAGGGCCACGGGGCGGCC